UACGGAGGGUGCGAGCGUUAAUCGGAAUUACUGGGCGUAAAGCGCACGCAGGCGGUUUGUUAAGCUAGAUGUGAAAGCCCCGGGCUCAACCUGGGAUGGUCAUUUAGAACUGGCAGACUAGAGUCUUGGAGAGGGGAGUGGAAUUCCAGGUGUAGCGGUGAAAUGCGUAGAUAUCUGGAGGAACAUCAGUGGCGAAGGCGACUCCCUGGCCAAAGACUGACGCUCANGUGCGAAAGUGUGGGUAGCGAACAGC
RNAcentral lists this ribosomal RNA (253 nucleotides) under uncultured bacterium. RNAcentral describes it as "partial 16S ribosomal RNA". It matches the Rfam family "Bacterial small subunit ribosomal RNA", at positions 524 to 776 of the family's 1533-position model. The record is from RNAcentral.